UGUUAUAGUUUAUUUGAUGUUCGUUUUACAUGGAUAACCGUGGUAAUUCUAGGGCUAAUACAUGCUCGAGGCGCGUUUUUCGCGUGGCGUUUAUUAGACUUAACCAACCCCUUUGGUAAUCGGGAUACUUU
Molecule: ribosomal RNA, 131 nt
Filed under: Babesia microti
Lineage: Eukaryota; Apicomplexa; Aconoidasida; Piroplasmida; Babesiidae
Description: partial small subunit ribosomal RNA
Source: RNAcentral